This 1439-nucleotide ribosomal RNA is filed under the name uncultured bacterium. RNAcentral's name for it is "bacterial SSU rRNA". It matches the Rfam family "Bacterial small subunit ribosomal RNA". The record is from RNAcentral.
GACGAACGCUGGCGGCGUGCUUAACACAUGCAAGUCGAACGAUGAACCGGAGCUUGCUCCGGGGAUUAGUGGCGAACGGGUGAGUAACACGUGGGCAACCUGCCCCUAACUCUGGGAUAACUCCUCGAAAGAGGUGCUAAUACCGGAUAUGAACUGGGAAGACAUCUUCUUGGUUGGAAAGUUUUUCGGUUAGGGAUGGGCCCGCGGCCUAUCAGCUUGUUGGUGAGGUAACGGCUCACCAAGGCGACGACGGGUAACCGGCCUGAGAGGGCGACCGGUCACACUGGGACUGAGACACGGCCCAGACUCCUACGGGAGGCAGCAGUGGGGAAUAUUGCGCAAUGGGCGAAAGCCUGACGCAGCGACGUCGCGUGAGGGAUGAAGGUCUUCGGAUUGUAAACCUCUUUCAGCAGGGACGAAGCGAAAGUGACGGUACCUGCAGAAGAAGCACCGGCUAACUACGUGCCAGCAGCCGCGGUAAUACGUAGGGUGCAAGCGUUGUCCGGAUUUAUUGGGCGUAAAGAGCUCGUAGGCGGUUUGACACGUCGGAUGUGAAAACUCGGGGCUUAACUCCGAGCCUGCAUUCGAUACGGUCUAACUAGAGUGUGGUAGGGGAAACUGGAAUUCCUGGUGUAGCGGUGAAAUGCGCAGAUAUCAGGAGGAACACCGAUGGCGAAGGCAGGCUUCUGGGCCACCACUGACGCUGAGGAGCGAAAGCGUGGGGAGCGAACAGGAUUAGAUACCCUGGUAGUCCACGCCGUAAACGGUGGGCGCUAGAUGUGGGGACUAUUCCAUGGUCUCUGUGUCGCAGCUAACGCAUUAAGCGCCCCGCCUGGGGAGUACGGCCGCAAGGCUAAAACUCAAAGGAAUUGACGGGGGCCCGCACAAGCGGCGGAGCAUGCGGCUUAAUUCGAUGCAACGCGAAGAACCUUACCUAGACUUGACAUAUACGGAAAACAUGCAGAGAUGUAUGGUCCGAAAGGGCCGUAUACAGGUGGUGCAUGGUUGUCGUCAGCUCGUGUCGUGAGAUGUUGGGUUAAGUCCCGCAACGAGCGCAACCCUCGUUCUAUGUUGCCAGCGGUUCGGCCGGGGACUCAUAGAAGACUGCCGUGGUCAACACGGAGGAAGGUGGGGAUGACGUCAAAUCAUCAUGCCCCUUAUGUCUAGGGCUGCACGCGUGCUACAAUGGCUGGUACAAAGGGCUGCGAUACCGCAAGGUGGAGCGAAUCCCAAAAAGCCAGUCUCAGUUCGGAUUGGGGUCUGCAACUCGACCCCAUGAAGUUGGAGUCGCUAGUAAUCGCAGAUCAGCAAUGCUGCGGUGAAUACGUUCCCGGGCCUUGUACACACCGCCCGUCACGUCACGAAAGUCGGUAACACCCGAAGCCGGUGGCCUAACCGUAAGGAAGGAGCCGUCGAAGGUGGGAUCGGUGAUUGGGACG